UGCACCGGUAUGUGUACGCAAGUUUUUAUGAAUCAGAAUAUUUUUUUAGCGUACCGAGACGCCUAGGCAGGCUCCUGCGCGGCUCUCUCCAAGGUGCCGGUCCCUUAAAUACGUACGCAGGAAAUAUUCACCGUGAAUUACUUGCCGUCACACAGCCCACUCUCCUCCAGUGAUGUGCUGAUCCUCGAUCGGGCCACAACAUGUAGAAACCUAUUUGAGGAACAGUAAAGUGGAAGUGAAAGAUUUGUUGUGUCCAAUCUGCCUCGCUGUGACUAUAAGAGUCUGGAGACGUCCAACGUCGUUCUGUUCUUGGGAAUGUAGACGACCUGACAAACACUGGUUUCCCAGAGGCUCCAGAGCACUUUCCUCUGCCUCCUUGGAUUCCUUCCUUUUUCCAGACAGGAAGACGGUGAGUGUCUGAGAGAUUUCUGCGUUCGUACUGGCAGGAACACAAUAUGAGCUCAGAGAACAGGAAAAUAGGAGGACCUGACUACACCACCGAAACCACACAGGAGAGAACGAUGCCCAACCUUGAGCGAGAUGUGCAGGGUGCAGAGGCAGGGAGGUCUCACUGUCUGCUCGAGGCAUUGAGCGUGAGAGAGAGAAGUCACAGUAUGGAGAAAUUAAUCAACAUGAAGCCGAUGAAGCAAAAUAAACUUGCGGAAGACUGUGUCAUGUUACGAUCUGCUCACGCUCACGGUCCCACGGUGGUGGAAUGACCUCCAUGUCAGAACGGCAGAGUCUCUGACCUCCUUCAAGCGCAACUGAAGACCCAUCUCUUUAGGCUACACCUUUCCCUCCCCAAUCACCAUGAUUAGCCUUAGACUGUAAUGGCACUUAUGUAUAGAUAUCCUUACUUGUAUAGGUAUUGCUGUUUUCAUUGGCUGUUGUAUUGUUGUAUUCUAGCUGCCAACUGUGGUAUGCUAGUUUGAAAGUUGAUUGUACUCUUCAAGGGUUCUGAUUUUCUGUAUGUUUACGCUAGGACUCGGAACUGUACUGUCCUCUCAGGUCCUCUUGGCACUUGUUCUUGUGUUUGAUUUGCACUUUGUUGUACGUCGCUCUGCAUAAGUACGUCUGCUAAAUGCCACGUAAUGUAAUGUAAUGUAAUGUAAUGUUACACUCUGUAAAGUGUCUCAUAAAAAAUGCAAAAUGAAAGGAAUACUUUUUUUGUAUCUAUAGUGGCAACUGUGGUGUUAUGGGUCAAAACUGACUUUUGUUAGGAAAAAAGGUCAAACCUUUAUUUUGUUCAAAAUAACACAUUCAAAUUGAAAAUAAACAAAAGGGUUGCUCAAAUCACA
Conger conger (European conger) is the source of this 1298-nucleotide long non-coding RNA. RefSeq lists it as uncharacterized. The record is from RefSeq and is a predicted model, not a curated record. The transcript has 2 exons. NCBI's taxonomy places the organism in Eukaryota, Metazoa, Chordata, Actinopteri, Anguilliformes, Congridae.